RNAcentral lists this ribosomal RNA (756 nucleotides) under Klebsiella quasipneumoniae. RNAcentral describes it as "bacterial SSU rRNA". It matches the Rfam family "Bacterial small subunit ribosomal RNA", at positions 75 to 826 of the family's 1533-position model. Lineage: Bacteria; Pseudomonadati; Pseudomonadota; Gammaproteobacteria; Enterobacterales; Enterobacteriaceae. The record is from RNAcentral.
CUUUCUUCGGGGGUGAAGAGCGGCGGACGGGUGAGUAAUGUCUGGGAAACUGCCUGAUGGAGGGGGAUAACUACUGGAAACGGUAGCUAAUACCGCAUAACGUCGCAAGACCAAAGUGGGGGACCUUCGGGCCUCAUGCCAUCAGAUGUGCCCAGAUGGGAUUAGCUAGUAGGUGGGGUAACGGCUCACCUAGGCGACGAUCCCUAGCUGGUCUGAGAGGAUGACCAGCCACACUGGAACUGAGACACGGUCCAGACUCCUACGGGAGGCAGCAGUGGGGAAUAUUGCACAAUGGGCGCAAGCCUGAUGCAGCCAUGCCGCGUGUAUGAAGAAGGCCUUCGGGUUGUAAAGUACUUUCAGCGGGGAGGAAGGCGAUAAGGUUAAUAACCUUGUCGAUUGACGUUACCCGCAGAAGAAGCACCGGCUAACUCCGUGCCAGCAGCCGCGGUAAUACGGAGGGUGCAAGCGUUAAUCGGAAUUACUGGGCGUAAAGCGCACGCAGGCGGUCUGUCAAGUCGGAUGUGAAAUCCCCGGGCUCAACCUGGGAACUGCAUUCGAAACUGGCAGGCUAGAGUCUUGUAGAGGGGGGUAGAAUUCCAGGUGUAGCGGUGAAAUGCGUAGAGAUCUGGAGGAAUACCGGUGGCGAAGGCGGCCCCCUGGACAAAAGAGUGAUUAUCAGGUGCUAAAGCGUGGGGAUCAUUUUAUGAUUAGAUACCCUGGUAGUCCACGCCGAAAACGAUGUCGAUUUGGAAGGAU